GAUGAACGCUGGCGGCGUGCCUAAUACAUGCAAGUCGAGCGAACAGACGAGGAGCUUGCUCCUCUGACGUUAGCGGCGGACGGGUGAGUAACACGUGGAUAACCUACCUAUAAGACUGGGAUAACUUCGGGAAACCGGAGCUAAUACCGGAUAAUAUAUUGAACCGCAUGGUUCAAUAGUGAAAGACGGUUUUGCUGUCACUUAUAGAUGGAUCCGCGCCGCAUUAGCUAGUUGGUAAGGUAACGGCUUACCAAGGCGACGAUGCGUAGCCGACCUGGGAGGGUGAUCGGCCACACUGGAACUUAGACACGGUCCAGACUCCUACGGGAGGCAGCAGUAGGGAAUCUUCCGCAAUGGGCGAAAGCCUGACGGAGCAACGCCGCGUGAGUGAUGAAGGUCUUCGGAUCGUAAAACUCUGUUAUUAGGGAAGAACAAAUGUGUAAGUAACUAUGCACGUCUUGACGGUACCUAAUCAGAAAGCCACGGCUAACUACGUG
RNAcentral lists this ribosomal RNA (497 nucleotides) under uncultured bacterium. RNAcentral's name for it is "partial 16S ribosomal RNA". It matches the Rfam family "Bacterial small subunit ribosomal RNA", at positions 28 to 507 of the family's 1533-position model. The record is from RNAcentral.